GCACAGCUGAACACAUUAAUUAUAAAGACAUCAUUUGUUAACAAUGUGCCACUGGGAUAUUUACAAAUCCAUUGAUCUGUGAGGCAUUGAGGGGGAAGAAAAGGUUUAAGAAGAAAUCAGGAGGAAGAAAAAGCACCAAGGAGAGCUGCAGCACUUGAAAGGAUGUGUCUGAAGGCUGAAUGGUUCCUCCUCAGGAAAAAAGCAGAAACAUCUCCCGAGUUAUCUGCAGGAGUCAGGAGUGUCGUGUUCUGCUCAGAAACACCGCCUUCAAAGCUGUGAAGCCAUUGAGCACCGCUUGGGAUGUGCAGUGAAAGCUCUUCCACAAGAGUUGCACUGGAAAAGCCUUAGCAGGAGAAAACACAUGCCUGCCUCAGGGGUUACAAGACAAAUCAAUCUAUUUUUCUCCUUUCCUCCAAGGUUGGAAUCCUCAGCUGAGAGGUAAACUUAUAAAGGUGGGAAAAUAAAAAGAAGAUGAAGAGGAACGAUUGCAUCAGUUCAAAUCCCCUCCAAUAACAAGCAGCACUGUGACCAGCAUUUGAGGCUGGAAUUUACUGAAACCUGCUAUGAAUAGCUGUCAUUUUCCUAGGCAGUAUUUUUUUUAUUCUUGAUUGUGAUAAAAUUUUCUCGAAUUUUUGUGACAGCCUGUACUGCUGGCAUUCAUGGAGAUUUAUCACAGAAUUUAGUCAGACUGAGGAGUUAUAAUUAUUGCUUCAUUUCCCAUAAAAUCUCACAAAGUAAUACUGAUUUUUACCUCAUUCUUCUGAAAUUGCCUUUUUCAAGGAGCAAUCAUGGCUGUGAAUAUUCCUAGAAUCCUUCUGCUGUUCUGUACAUAUAAUCACCUGCAGACUCACUUUCAGCCUUUGAAUACUGGUAAAUUGUAUACAGUGCAUUUAAAUUGGCUAAUAAA
Molecule: long non-coding RNA, 907 nt
Organism: Zonotrichia leucophrys gambelii
Lineage: Eukaryota; Metazoa; Chordata; Aves; Passeriformes; Passerellidae
Exons: 3
Source: RefSeq, a predicted model, not a curated record